RNAcentral lists this transfer RNA (467 nucleotides) under Ligilactobacillus salivarius. Its description in RNAcentral is "partial 16S-23S ribosomal RNA intergenic spacer". The stretch from base 96 to 170 matches the Rfam family "tRNA". Lineage: Bacteria; Bacillati; Bacillota; Bacilli; Lactobacillales; Lactobacillaceae. The record is from RNAcentral.
CACCUCCUUUCUAAGGAAUAAUUACGGAACCUGUACAUUUAUUGAAUACUUUGUUUAGUUUCCAGAGAUUUACUCUCUGUUAAAGAAUGGCUUAUGGGCCUAUAGCUCAGCUGGUUUAGAGCGCACGCCUGAUAAGCGUGAGGUCGAUGGUUCGAGUCCAUUUAGGCCCAUUCUUUUAUGAAAAUUUCAUAAUUUUCUUAUGGGGCCUUAGCUCAGCUGGGAGAGCGCCUGCUUUGCACGCAGGAGGUCAGCGGUUCGAUCCCGCUAGGCUCCAUUGAUAACGAAAGUUAUCAAAUGAUUUUGUUCUUUGAAAACUAGAUAUUGAUUUAUUUCUUAAAAAUAAACCGAGAACACCGCGUUUUAAAGAGUUUAAAACAAGAAUUAUAGUUCUUAAUCGCUAAACUCAUAACCUAUUAUCGUUAGAUAAUAUUAGGUUAAGUUAUUAAGGGCGUAGGGUGGAUGCCUUG